GCCUGACUGGCUCAGUCGGUAGAGCAUGAGACUCUUGAGUUCAGGGUUGUGAGUUCAAGCCCCACAGUGGGCA
RNAcentral lists this transfer RNA (73 nucleotides) under Ailuropoda melanoleuca (giant panda). It matches the Rfam family "tRNA". From Rfam's summary of the family: Transfer RNA (tRNA) molecules are approximately 80 nucleotides in length. Their secondary structure includes four short double-helical elements and three loops (D, anti-codon, and T loops). Lineage: Eukaryota; Metazoa; Chordata; Mammalia; Carnivora; Ursidae. The record is from Rfam by way of RNAcentral.